UGGGGAAUAUUGGACAAUGGGCGAAAGCCUGAUCCAGCCAUGCCGCGUGUGUGAAGAAGGUCUUCGGAUUGUAAAGCACUUUAAGUUGGGAGGAAGGGCAGUAAGCGAAUACCUUGCUGUUUUGACGUUACCGACAGAAUAAGCACCGGCUAACUCUGUGCCAGCAGCCGCGGUAAUACAGAGGGUGCAAGCGUUAAUCGGAAUUACUGGGCGUAAAGCGCGCGUAGGUGGUUCGUUAAGUUGAAUGUGAAAGCCCCGGGCUCAACCUGGGUACUGCAUCCAAAACUUGCGAGCUAGAGUAGGGCAGAGGGUGGUGGAAGUUCCUGUGUAGCGGUGAAAUGCGUAGAUAUAGGAAGGAACACCAGUGGCGAAGGCGACCACCUGGGCUCAUACUGACACUGAGGUGCGAAUGCGUGGGGAGCAAACAGG
Molecule: ribosomal RNA, 429 nt
Filed under: Pseudomonadota bacterium
Lineage: Bacteria; Pseudomonadati; Pseudomonadota
Description: Proteobacteria bacterium partial 16S ribosomal RNA
Rfam family: Bacterial small subunit ribosomal RNA
Source: RNAcentral